UAUACACAUGCAAGUCGAGGGGUAACAGGAGUGCUUGCACUCGCUGACGACCGGCGCACGGGUGCGUAACGCGUAUAGAAUCUACCUUGUAGUAAGGGAUAGCCCAGAGAAAUUUGGAUUAAUACCUUAUAGUAUCUUAAGUGAGCAUUCACUAAGGAUUAAAGAUUUAUUGCUAUAAGAUGACUAUGCGUUCUAUUAGCUAGUUGGUAUGGUAACGGCAUACCAAGGCUACGAUAGAUAGGGGUCCUGAGAGGGAGAUCCCCCACACUGGUACUGAGACACGGACCAGACUCCUACGGGAGGCAGCAGUGAGGAAUAUUGGACAAUGGAGGCAACUCUGAUCCAGCCAUGCCGCGUGUAGGAAGACUGCCCUAUGGGUUGUAAACUACUUUUAUAGAGGAAGAAACAAUAUUACGUGUAAUAUUCUGACGGUACUCUACGAAUAAGGAUCGGCUAACUCCGUGCCAGCAGCCGCGGUAAUACGGAGGAUCCAAGCGUUAUCCGGAAUCAUUGGGUUUAAAGGGUCCGUAGGCGGGUUUGUAAGUCAGUGGUGAAAGUUUUCGGCUCAACCGGAAAAUUGCCAUUGAUACUGCAAGUCUUGAAUCAUUGUGAAGUGGUUAGAAUGUGUAGUGUAGCGGUGAAAUGCAUAGAUAUUACACAGAAUACCGAUUGCGAAGGCAGAUCACUAACAAUUGAUUGACGCUAAGGGACGAAAGCGUGGGUAGCGAACAGGAUUAGAUACCCUGGUAGUCCACGCCGUAAACGAUGGUUACUAGCUGUUCGGACUUCGGUCUGAGUGGCUAAGCGAAAGUGAUAAGUAACCCACCUGGGGAGUACGUUCGCAAGAAUGAAACUCAAAGGAAUUGACGGGGGCCCGCACAAGCGGUGGAGCAUGUGGUUUAAUUCGAUGAUACGCGAGGAACCUUACCAGGGCUUAAAUGUAGAUUGACAGGUUUAGAGAUAGACUUUCCUUCGGGCAAUUUACAAGGUGCUGCAUGGUUGUCGUCAGCUCGUGCCGUGAGGUGUCAGGUUAAGUCCUAUAACGAGCGCAACCCCUGUUGUUAGUUGCCAGCGAGUCAUGUCGGGAACUCUAGCAAGACUGCCGGUGCAAACCGCGAGGAAGGUGGGGAUGACGUCAAA
Molecule: ribosomal RNA, 1140 nt
Filed under: marine bacterium HE-13
Lineage: Bacteria
Description: bacterial SSU rRNA
Rfam family: Bacterial small subunit ribosomal RNA
Source: RNAcentral